AAGGGAGAGAAGAGGAACUUGGUUCCUAAACGGGUGAUUUGAAGAGUGAAAAUUGGUGGGAGGAGAUAUUUGAGAGAAAUCUUUGGUUUGAGGGAGAAGAGAUGGAGAGCUUUUGGUUCGGUGGGAGGAAGAAGACGAAGGGCUGAGUCAGCUCAAGAAAAAAUUCUCAAUAAGAAGAGAGCGCCCGAAGGGUUUUGACAAAAUUGCAAGAUUACCCUAGGGUCG
This 225-nucleotide long non-coding RNA is filed under the name Elaeis guineensis (African oil palm). RNAcentral describes it as "long non-coding RNA (EGUI_LNC079085)". The record is from RNAcentral. Lineage: Eukaryota; Viridiplantae; Streptophyta; Magnoliopsida; Arecales; Arecaceae.